GUAAACUCAAAAAUCAAAAUAUGACUUAUAUGAGUUAUUUAAUGUAAAAAAACAAGACACAAAUUAUGGUGGUGAUAUUUCAACUCUAUUUCAGGGCCAUUUUCAAACCAGGGCCAUUUACGAACGUGCUCAGAUCUUUAUAAGGAGAAAUUGGAAGAUGACAAAUGGCAUUAUCAUUGACAUGAUUUGGAGUAUGUUUUUUCUUAUAUUAGUGCUAUAAACUAUCACAAAGUACUUAGCGAAGAUUCCUCCCUGACCUUCCAUCACAUAAAACCAACUUAGAAUGUUUUAAACAUUUAAAAAGCGGCUAAUAAAUAUUUUUA
Paramuricea clavata is the source of this 323-nucleotide non-coding RNA. Lineage: Eukaryota; Metazoa; Cnidaria; Anthozoa; Malacalcyonacea; Plexauridae. The record is from the annotation of a GenBank genome assembly.